Molecule: ribosomal RNA, 797 nt
Filed under: Crispiphantes sp. LT-2015
Lineage: Eukaryota; Metazoa; Arthropoda; Arachnida; Araneae; Linyphiidae
Description: SSU rRNA
Rfam family: Eukaryotic small subunit ribosomal RNA
Source: RNAcentral
CGAAAGUUAGAGGUUCGAAGGCGAUCAGAUACCGCCCUAGUUCUAACCAUAAACGAUGCCAGCCAGCGAUCCGGCUGUGUUCCUCAAAUGACACGCCGGGCAGCUUCCGGGAAACCAAAGCUUUUGGGUUCCGGGGGAAGUAUGGUUGCAAAGCUGAAACUUAAAGGAAUUGACGGAGGGGCACCACCAGACGUGGAUGUUGCGGUUCAAUUUGACUCAACGCAGCAAAUCCUACCAGGCCAGGACACAGGAAGGAUUGACAGAUUGAGAGCUCUUUCUUGAUUCUGUGGGUGGUGGUGCAUGGCCGUUCCUGGUUCGUGGAGCGAUUUGUCUUGUUUAUUCUGAUAACGGACGAGAUUCUAGCCUACUAAAUAGACGCUUCGAUCCUUCGAGUCGAGCGUUCUUCUUAGAGGGACAGGCGGUGUUUAGCCGCACGAGGCAGAGCAAUAACAGGUCUGUAAUGCCCUUAGAUGUCCUGGGCCACACGCGUCCUACAUUGAAGGAAUCAACGUGUGCUUUCCCUGUCCGAAGGGACUGGGUAACCCGUUGAACCUCCUUCGUGCUGGGGAUAGAAAAUUGUAAUUAUUUUUCUUGAACGAGGAACUUCUAGUAAGCGCGAGUCAUCAUCUCGGGUUGAUUAGGUCCCUGCCCCUUGUCCACACCGCCCGUCGCUAUUACCGAUUGAAUGAUUUAGUGAGGUCUUCGGACUGGCGCUCGGAUUGGCCUUCGGGUCGAGCCGGCGUGCCGGAAAGAUGACCGAACUUGACCAUUUAGAGGAAAUAAAAGUCGUAACAAGG